GAUGAACGCUGGCGGCGUGCUUAACACAUGCAAGUCGAACGAGCCUUCGGGCUAGUGGCGGACGGGUGAGUAACGCGUGGGAAUCUGCCCUCAGGAGGGGGAUAACGGCCGGAAACGGCCGCUAAUACCCCAUAUGCCGAGAGGUGAAACGAAUUUCGCCUGGGGAUGAGCCCGCGUCUGAUUAGCUAGUUGGUGAGGUAAUGGCUCACCAAGGCUUCGAUCAGUAGCUGGUCUGAGAGGAUGAUCAGCCACACUGGGACUGAGACACGGCCCAGACUCCUACGGGAGGCAGCAGUGGGGAAUUUUCCGCAAUGGGCGCAAGCCUGACGGAGCAACGCCGCGUGAGGGACGAAGGCCUCUGGGCUGUAAACCUCUUUUCUCAAGGAAGAAGACAUGACGGUACUUGAGGAAUAAGCCACGGCUAAUUCCGUGCCAGCAGCCGCGGUAAUACGGGAGUGGCAAGCGUUAUCCGGAAUUAUUGGGCGUAAAGCGUCCGCAGGCGGCCUUGAAAGUCUGUUGUUAAAGCGUGGAGCUCAACUCCAUUUAAGCAAUGGAAACUACAAGGCUAGAGUGUGGUAGGGGCAGAGGGAAUUCCCGGUGUAGCGGUGAAAUGCGUAGAUAUCGGGAAGAACACCAGUGGCGAAGGCGCUCUGCUGGGCCAUAACUGACGCUCAUGGACGAAAGCCAGGGGAGCGAAAGGGAUUAGAUACCCCUGUAGUCCUGGCCGUAAACGAUGAACACUAGGUGUCGGGAGAAUUAACCCUUCCGGUGUCGUAGCCAACGCGUUAAGUGUUCCGCCUGGGGAGUACGCACGCAAGUGUGAAACUCAAAGGAAUUGACGGGGGCCCGCACAAGCGGUGGAGUAUGUGGUUUAAUUCGAUGCAACGCGAAGAACCUUACCAGGGUUUGACAUCCUGCGAAUCCCUUGGAAACGAGGGAGUGCCUUCGGGAACGCAGUGACAGGUGGUGCAUGGCUGUCGUCAGCUCGUGUCGUGAGAUGUUGGGUUAAGUCCCGCAACGAGCGCAACCCACGUCUUUAGUUGCCAGCAUUCAGUUGGGCACUCUAGAGAGACCGCCGGUGAUAAACCGGAGGAAGGUGUGGAUGACGUCAAGUCAUCAUGCCCCUUACAUCCUGGGCUACACACGUACUACAAUGCUACGGACAAAGGGCAGCAAACUCGCGAGAGCUAGCAAAUCCCAUAAACCGUGGCUCAGUUCAGAUCGUAGGCUGCAACUCGCCUACGUGAAGGAGGAAUCGCUAGUAAUCGCAGGUCAGCAUACUGCGGUGAAUACGUUCCCGGGCCUUGUACACACCGCCCGUCACACCAUGGAAGUUGGCCAUGCCCGAAGUCGUUACUCCAACCCGCAAGGGAGGAGGACGCCGAAGGUGGGGCUGAUGACUGGGGUGAAGUCGUAACAAGGUAGCCGUACCGGAAGGUGCGGCUGGAUCACCUCCUA
Molecule: ribosomal RNA, 1458 nt
Filed under: Anathece clathrata SAG 23.99
Lineage: Bacteria; Bacillati; Cyanobacteriota; Cyanophyceae; Synechococcales; Prochlorococcaceae
Description: bacterial SSU rRNA
Rfam family: Bacterial small subunit ribosomal RNA
Source: RNAcentral